GUUGAGGCCUGUGAUCCCGGAGGGGCUGAGGCGGGCCUAGACUCUGCUGCUGAUUUGAAGUUGGGAUAUUUUCCCUGCCAACUUUUGACCCCAAUGUCUGCAUCAUUCUGCCCCAAUGAUGAGGGUGAGGAUCAGUAUGAAAACACUGAUGAAGAGGAAGAGGAUGGAAAUGAAAAACCUGAAGGACUCUAAAUGGAUGUGGUCUCAGCAAAGAGCAGCUCUGGAUAAUACAGUGGGAAGGCAUAGAAAAAGCAGACAGCAAAAGAAAAGAUGAAUCUGUUCUUCAUGGAUAUUCUUGUUUUCAUUAGCCUGAAAUACUAAUUUUGUUUCAAAGUUUCAAUGCCCCAAAGUGAUACUAACUACUGACAUCUGACUUUACUCUUACCUUUUACAGAUAAUUUGAUAGUAUUGUUCACAUUGGAAAUAAAAGCUUGUUUGAAAGUAAUAA
Molecule: long non-coding RNA, 448 nt
Organism: Bos taurus (domestic cattle)
Lineage: Eukaryota; Metazoa; Chordata; Mammalia; Artiodactyla; Bovidae
Source: Ensembl